GGGGCUGUGGCUCAGUGGUAGAGCAGCUGCUCAGUAUGCUGAAGGCCCCAGGGGCAAAUCCUUGGCAUCUCCA
RNAcentral lists this transfer RNA (73 nucleotides) under Sphaerodactylus townsendi. RNAcentral describes it as "tRNA-Thr". It matches the Rfam family "tRNA". From Rfam's summary of the family: Transfer RNA (tRNA) molecules are approximately 80 nucleotides in length. Their secondary structure includes four short double-helical elements and three loops (D, anti-codon, and T loops). Further hydrogen bonds mediate the characteristic L-shaped molecular structure. tRNAs have two regions of fundamental functional importance: the anti-codon, which is responsible for specific mRNA codon recognition, and the 3' end, to which the tRNAs corresponding amino acid is attached (by aminoacyl-tRNA synthetases). tRNAs cope with the degeneracy of the genetic code in two manners: having more than one tRNA (with a specific anti-codon) for a particular amino acid; and 'wobble' base-pairing, i.e. permitting non-standard base-pairing at the 3rd anti-codon position. Lineage: Eukaryota; Metazoa; Chordata; Lepidosauria; Squamata; Sphaerodactylidae. The record is from RNAcentral.